This 292-nucleotide ribosomal RNA is filed under the name uncultured bacterium. RNAcentral describes it as "partial 16S ribosomal RNA". It matches the Rfam family "Bacterial small subunit ribosomal RNA", at positions 505 to 796 of the family's 1533-position model. The record is from RNAcentral.
GUGCCAGCCGCCGCGGUAAGACGGAGGGGGCAAGCGUUGUCCGGACUCACUGGGCGUAAAGCGCACGUAGGCGGUUGGGUGCGUCGCUGCUGAAAGCGCCAGGCUUAACCUGGCGAGGCGUGGCGAUACGACCUGACUAGAGGCAGGCAGAGGGUGGCGGAAUUCCGGGUGUAGUGGUGAAAUGCGUAGAGAUCCGGAGGAACGCCUGUGGCGCAAGCGGCCACCUGGGCCUGACCUGACGCUGAGGUGCGAAAGCGUGGGGAGCGAACCGGAUUAGAUACCCCUGUAGUCC